GAUGAAGAACGCAGCGAAAUGCGAUAAGUAAUGUGAAUUGCAGAAUUCAGUGAAUCAUCGAAUCUUUGAACGCACAUUGCGCCCGCCAGUAUUCUGGCUGGCAUGCCUGUUCGAGCGUCAUUACAACCCUCAGGCCCCCGGGCCUGGCGUUGGGGAUCGGCGGAGCCCCCCGUGGGCACACGCCGUCCCCCAAAUGCAGUGGCGGUCCCGCCGCAGCUUCCAUCGCGUAGUAGCUAACACCUCGCGACUGGAGAGCGGCGCGGCCACGCCGUAAAACACCCCACUCUUCUGAAGUUGACCUCGAAUCAGGUAGGAAUACCCGCUGAACUUAAGCAUAUCAAUAAGCGGAGGA
This 352-nucleotide unclassified non-coding RNA is filed under the name soil metagenome. Its description in RNAcentral is "partial contains 5.8S ribosomal RNA, internal transcribed spacer 2, and large subunit ribosomal RNA". The stretch from base 1 to 120 matches the Rfam family "5.8S ribosomal RNA", at positions 35 to 154 of the family's 154-position model. The record is from RNAcentral.